UCGACAUCAACAUUAGCAACAUGUGCUCGUGUGUGCAGCAAUCAUGGCAGCAACCGACAGUCGUGCAUGCGUGCUGCACUGCAUUCUGUGCUUUGUCCUGAUCGCCUUGCGUGCUUCGUGCGGCACGAAAUCGACAAACAUUUGGCAAUUGUGUCAGUGACAGACAUGAAGAACUUCAAGCCUGACGACGACUUUUCGGCGGGUUUUUAUAUGGUGAAGUGGACAAACGCGGCCAGCACGUGUGCCCACUACCUUGCCAGAAUUUUGCAGAUCGGAGGUUGUGGCGCGACUAGACCGGAAAAGGACCAUGAACAGUAUCCCGCAUUGCAUUUUUCUUAGUAAUAAAGCUUUAAAUCCUACUUUUCA
This is a long non-coding RNA of Dermacentor albipictus, 366 nucleotides long. RefSeq lists it as uncharacterized. The record is from RefSeq and is a predicted model, not a curated record. NCBI's taxonomy places the organism in Eukaryota, Metazoa, Arthropoda, Arachnida, Ixodida, Ixodidae.